Long non-coding RNA from Hipposideros armiger (great roundleaf bat), 2553 nucleotides. RefSeq lists it as uncharacterized. NCBI's taxonomy places the organism in Eukaryota, Metazoa, Chordata, Mammalia, Chiroptera, Hipposideridae. The record is from RefSeq and is a predicted model, not a curated record. The transcript has 2 exons.
GCAAAAAUAAGUGAACUGGGGAGACAGGGCUUACAGUCCAACCUAGUCAAAAAUAGUCAAGUUAGAGGUACUUGGCUGUAGUCACACAGCUGGAAAAAUGGAGGAAAACGGGCAAACCUUGUUCUUUCUGACUAGAAAUUCUAUUUUUUCAGGCCUCUUGGUGCAGACGUUUCAGUGGUUGCUGUAUGUAUGAUGUUAUGCAUACAUCACUUGUCCCGCCUGCUGUGUGGACUUUACUCUCCCAUUUCCAUAACUUUUCCUCUACUUACUUUAAGCACCACAUUAGACAGUGUUAUACCUGUUGCUUCAGUCAUUAAACACCAUAUAGAAAACUUGAGAAGAAAAAAAGCCUAUUUACCCACAUUUUUACUCUUUCAAUUGCUCUCUCUUCUUCCUGGUAUUCCAAGAGUCCUUUUAUCAUUUUGAGUAGGAAAAGCCCAGCCCUUCGUGUCUCUCACUGUACCUCACUCACACUUCUGACACCAGAUGUGGGGGGUUGACUGACCUCCACGAAGCAGUUAUCUCCAAUACCAGCUGAGUGUCCUACAGUUAACUCAGUUCUGACACUGUUUGCCUGGAGAUGGCGUCAGAUCCCACCAGUUUAGGCUCAUUGCCACAACACUGCCUCCCCAACUUCAGAUGCCAGUCUUACUUGUUGCCACCCGUGUUUCUGAUUGGCUGUAAAUCAUGCUCCCAUGAACCCCUUCACUAGGUUCCAUUAAUUUGCUAGAGCAGCUCACAGAGCUGAGGAACUUAUAUUUACAGUUUGUGUAAAAGGAUGUGAUGAAGGAUACGGUGGAUAUCCAGAUGGAAGAGGCGUGUGCCAGGGGCACAGAGCUUCCACACCCUGUCUGGGUGCUGCUCUCCCCGCACCUCCACGUGUGCACCAAUUCAGAAGCUGCCCGAACUCCAUAUUUGGGACUUUAUGGAGCUCAUUCACAGAGACGUGAUCCAUCACUAACUCCAUUUCCAGCCCCUCCCCUCUCUGGAGAAUCAGGGACGGGGCUGAAAAUCCCAAGCUUCUAAUCACGGUUGGUCUUUCUGGUGACCAGCCCCCAUCCGGGAGCCACCCAGUGUCACCUCACUAGAACAAAAGACACUGCUGUCACCCAGGAAAUUAUAGGUUUUUCAGAAGCCCUGUGCCCUGGCCAGGGCAGAGACCAAUCUGUAUUUUCUAUUAUCUCACGUUUCCUUCCUGCCUCAAGAACUUCUUUGCUAUUCUUUUAGGACAUGUCUACUGGCAACAACAAGUUUUCCUUUAUCUGAGAUGUCUUCUCUCUCAUUCCUAAAGAAUAAUUUCACUGGAUAGAGAAUUCAAGUUCUUUUUUGGCAACACUCAAGAAAUGUGCCACUUCCCUCUGGCCUCCACGGUUUCUGGUGACAAAUCUGCUUUCAUUUGACUUGUUUUCUCCUUACAGACAAGGCAUUGUUUUUCUCUCUGCUUUCAAGAAUUUUUCUGUGUUUGGCUUUCUGAAGUCUGAUGACACUAUUCGUAUGUCUCGGUUUGCAUUUCUUUCCAUUUAUUCUGUUUGGGGUUUGCUCAGCUUCUUGAAUCCUGUUUAUCUCUUUUGCCAAACUUGGGAAAUUUUCUCCCAUUAUUUCUCUUUAACCGGCAGUUUUUAGUAUAUUUCUAUUCCCAGAGUUAUGCAACCAUUACUACAAUCAAUUUAAGAAAUUGUAUUACCCUGGUAAGAAACUCUGUACCUGCUAACAGUCACUCCCAUUAUCCACUUCCUAGCCCCUGGUAACCACCGAUCUACCCUAUGGAUCUGCUGUUCUGGACAUUUCGUACAGGUGGAAUCAUGCAGCAUGGCCUUGGUGCCCGACUACUCAUGGAGCGUGACGCUUUCAAGAGUCAUCCAUGUGGUGGCAUGAGUACAGGCCCCCUACAGACAUAUAACUUGCAAAAGUUUUCUUCCAUUCUGUGAGGUAUGUUAUUUUUUAUUUCUUUGGAUAUGUUUUCACCCCCACCACAUCCUCCUCCUAGGAUGUCAAUGGCACAAAUAUUAGAUCUUUUGUCAUCGUCGCACACGACUCUGAGGCUCUGUUAAUUUCUUUCUUUUCUUUUUUUUUUAGCUGAGCCAUCCUGCCACCUGUUGGCAGCUCAGCUUGGGCCAGGAAUCGAACCGCUGUUUCUCAGAGCUCAAACUCGAGCGAGCUCUUAACCAACUGAGCCACUCCGCCGGCCUGGGGCUCUGUUAAUUUCUUCCUGGCCUGCUUGCUGUCUGUGGUUGAGACUGGGCCAUGUCUACUGCAUUAUCCCCAGAGCCACUGAGUCUCUCAUCUUUCCUCUCCAUUCAGUAUUUUUAUUUUGGCUGUUGUGUGUUUCAGUUCUAAACUUGUCAUUUUCUUCUUUUAUCUUCCAUUUAUUUGCUGAGAUUUUUUUUGUUUGUUUCCAGCAUGUUUGUAAUGGAGCAUAUUACAAACAAAUAUGUUUGUUUGGAGCAUAUUUAUGGCGGCUGCUUUAAAAUCUUUAUUGUAGGAUUCCGAUACCUGUGCCAUCUCCGUGUUGGCAUCCUUUGUCUUUUCACACUCAAGUUGAAAAUUUCAUGA